AUAUCGGUUGUUGCGCCUUCAUGUUAUGAUGUUAUAUUUUCUUACGCCCUAGAUAUCCAUCCCGUUCAUACAAGGGGGUGCUAAGUGUCCUAUAAGGGAAAUCGACUGUUGCCUCCUUAUAUGGUUUUGGGUAUUCCUCAUCUCAUGAGCUGAUUUUUGAGGUUAAGUCGGGCCCGAGGUCCACUUUCUUAACCACAUCUGUCUUACUUUCAGUAGAGACACCUCGUUUUCCUCUUGUAUCUUCCACCGCCAAUUCAUUGGGACUUUUCUUGUUUGUCUGUGGACCCUCUACCUACCGUAUGUCUAGUUACCUAACCGUAGAACAUAGUGGCUGCACCUAUUAUGGAAAGGUAGCCCGUAAAAUGAUCUCCACAAAUUCCAGACUAGUCGGAUAAUGUAUCGAUGAGGUGAACAGUAGACAUUUGACAUACAUUUAGGACUUCCCUUUCGAAAUGCCACGUGCUUAUUCUGAUGCAGUAUAGCAUGAUUAUUCUGUUGUCGCAAAGUUUGCUAACGUAUUUCUCCUAAGCCAGCAAGAGUUUUGCUGAUACGCUCAAAGCACUCGGUGUCAAAGCCGAAUGUAUCCUAUAUGAAGGAAAGACACACACAGAUUUGUUUCUUCAGGAUCCAAUGAGAGGUGGAAUAGACGAUAUGCUAGAUGAUCUGAUAACGAUGAUUCAUGGCGAUAACUCUGAAACCAUCAGAGCAAAUUCGACUCCGAGAAAACGCCUUGUACCUGAGUUCAUGUUGAAGAUGGCUAGAAGUGUUAGCCCCUUUUGAAUGAUCAUUCAAUAUAGUCCUUGUUUUUAGUCAGUUUAAAGUGGAACUUGCUAACAAAAGUAGCCAUAGAAAUAGGCCAUUCUUGGGAAGUAGAAGAAAAAUACUUCACUCAAUUAUUUUUAGGGAAAAGAGUCAAAAAUAUAUCUAAACUUUUUGGCGAAAUUUACUGUAACACGCCUCAACUUUUCGGGGUUCAUAUGACCCCUGGACUAUUUAUUACCAUAUUUUUAUGACAUAUAUUUGUCCAGUUGGACCAGUUCAGAUCCGUACACGCUCAAUGUGCGUGUAUUCACGCAGUGGUCCAGCUGGGCAAAUAUAUGUCGUAGAAAUACGAUAAUAAAUAAUCGAGGGGGUCGUAGGACCCUUGCAAAGUUGAGGCGUGUUACAACAAAUUUCGCCAAAGUUUAGAUAUAUUUAAAACCUUUUCCCAUUAUUUUUAUGGUAUUGUAAUGUAAUAUACAACUAAGUUUUUUUCUC
Capsicum annuum is the source of this 1257-nucleotide long non-coding RNA. RefSeq lists it as uncharacterized. Lineage: Eukaryota; Viridiplantae; Streptophyta; Magnoliopsida; Solanales; Solanaceae. The record is from RefSeq and is a predicted model, not a curated record. The transcript has 2 exons.